GAGUUUGAUCAUGGCUCAGAUUGAACGCUGGCGGCAGGCCUAACACAUGCAAGUCGGGCGAGAAAGCACUUCGGUGUGAGUAGAGCGGCGGACGGGUGAGUAACGCGUAGGAAUCUACCUAGUAGUGGGGGAUAACAUGUGGAAACGCAUGCUAAUACCGCAUACGCCCUACGGGGGAAAGAGGGGGACAUUUGCCUCUUGCUAUUAGAUGAGCCUGCGUAAGAUUAGCUAGUUGGUGGGGUAAGGGCCUACCAAGGCGACGAUCUUUAGCUGGCCUGAGAGGAUGAUCAGCCACACUGGGACUGAGACACGGCCCAGACUCCUACU
Molecule: ribosomal RNA, 327 nt
Filed under: uncultured bacterium
Lineage: Bacteria
Description: bacterial SSU rRNA
Rfam family: Bacterial small subunit ribosomal RNA
Source: RNAcentral